This 548-nucleotide ribosomal RNA is filed under the name uncultured Funneliformis. RNAcentral describes it as "SSU rRNA". It matches the Rfam family "Eukaryotic small subunit ribosomal RNA", at positions 548 to 1098 of the family's 1831-position model. Lineage: Eukaryota; Fungi; Glomeromycota; Glomeromycetes; Glomerales; Glomeraceae. The record is from RNAcentral.
UUGGAGGGCAAGUCUGGUGCCAGCAGCCGCGGUAAUUCCAGCUCCAAUAGCGUAUAUUAAAGUUGUUGCAGUUAAAAAGCUCGUAGUUGAAUUUCGGGAUCAAGGAAUCGGUCAUGCCUUGGUAUGUACUGGUUUUAUUGGUUCUCACCUUCUAAAGAACCAUAAUGUCAUUUAUUUGAUGUUAUGGGGAAUUAGGACUGUUACCUUGAAAAAAUUAGAGUGUUUAAAGCAAGCUUACGCUUGAAUACAUUAGCAUGGAAUAAUGAAAUAGGACAUCAGAUUCUAUUUUGUUGGUUUCUAGGAUCGAUGUAAUGAUUAAUAGGGAUAGUUGGGGGCAUUAGUAUUCAAUUGUCAGAGGUGAAAUUCUUGGAUUUAUUGAAGACUAACUACUGCGAAAGCAUUUGCCAAGGAUGUUUUCGUUAAUCAAGAACGAAAGUUAGGGGAUCGAAGACGAUCAGAUACCGUCGUAGUCUUAACCAUAAACUAUGUCGACUAGGGAUCGGAUGAUGUUAAUUUUAUAAUGACUCAUUCGGCGCCUUACGGGAAAC